AUCGAACGCUGGCGGCAGGCCUAACACAUGCAAGUCGAACGCGUGGCGGACGUGUGAGUAAUGUCUGGGAAACUGCUCGAUGGAGGGGGCUAACUACUGGAAACGGUAGCUAAUCCCGCAUACCAUCGGAUGUGCCCUGACGGGAUUAGCUAGUAGGUGGGGUAACGGCUCACCUAGGCGACGAUCCCUAGCUGGUCUGAGAGGAUGACCAGCCACACUGGAACUGAGACACGGUCCAGACUCCUACGGGAGGCAGCAGUAGGGAAUAUUGCACAAUGGGCGCAAGCCUGAUGCAGCCAUGCCGCGUGAAUGAAGAAGGCCUUCGGAUUGUAAAGUACUUUCAGCGGGGAGGCGUUACUCGCAGAGAAAGCACCGGCUAACUCCGUGCCAGCAGCCGCGGUAAUUC
RNAcentral lists this ribosomal RNA (406 nucleotides) under uncultured bacterium. Its description in RNAcentral is "partial 16S ribosomal RNA". It matches the Rfam family "Bacterial small subunit ribosomal RNA", at positions 30 to 526 of the family's 1533-position model. The record is from RNAcentral.